Molecule: ribosomal RNA, 330 nt
Filed under: uncultured bacterium
Lineage: Bacteria
Description: bacterial SSU rRNA
Rfam family: Bacterial small subunit ribosomal RNA
Source: RNAcentral
CACGUAGAUGGCUUUGUAAGUCAGAUGUGAAAUCCCCGGGCUCAACCUGGGAACUGCAUUUGAAACUGCAUUGCUCGAAUGUGGAAGAGGGAAGCGGAAUUCCAGGUGUAGCGGUGAAAUGCGUAGAUAUCUGGAGGAACAUCAGUGGCGAAGGCGGCUUCCUGGUCCAACAUUGACAUUCAGGUGCGAAAGCGUGGGGAGCAAACAGGAUUAGAUACCCUGGUAGUCCACGCCAUAAACGAUGAGAACUAGAUGUCGGGAGGGUUAGCCUUCCGGUGUCGCAGCUAACGCGUUAAGUCUCCGCCUGGGGAGUACGGCCGCAAGGUUGAA